Molecule: long non-coding RNA, 689 nt
Organism: Phacochoerus africanus (Common warthog)
Lineage: Eukaryota; Metazoa; Chordata; Mammalia; Artiodactyla; Suidae
Exons: 3
Source: RefSeq, a predicted model, not a curated record
AUGACAAACGUUGUUACACUUUUUUAAAUAUACGAAAUUCAAGGCAAGUCCCUAGGGUAUCUUCUGUUAGUCCAGCUUGAUCUUUGCGUCUAAAAUGCGCAACUGACAUCCAUCCAAACAUUGCCUGUGAUGUGGCCAGGUCCCUUACAGAGAUGCAUGGAUUGUCUCCGAGGGCUGCAAGCAGAGUGCCAUCUGAAUUGGAGUUAUCUACCGCCUAAGCUGGCUCUGGGGCGAGUCUCUGCAUCUGAGUCUCGUCUGACUCUUGUGUAAAAUAGACAUGACCCACCUCACUGGGCCAUGGAGAGCAGCAGCAGGAUCAAUCUUGGGACAAACUGAUACCAUGUACCUCUUGACUGAUGGAAUGAUAAGGAUAUAUAAUCUACAAUACAUUCUUGCCACGAAAACUGAACUCCACCUAAUCAUGAAGAAAUAGAUGAAUUCAGAUGUUGGGACAUUUUACAAGAUCAACUACCUGGAUUUUCUUAUGGAAGAAAAAAAAAGCUGGGAGACUGAUCUAGAUUAAAGGAGACCAAAAAAAAAAAAAAGAUAUAAUAGCUAAAUGCAACUAAAUGCAAUCCGUUAGCAACUAAAUGCAACUCAUUAUCCUUAACUGGAUCAAACACAAAACAAAAGCUUAUAAAGGACGUUAUUGAGACAACUAGGGACAUUUAUUUAUUUAUUAUUUUUGU